CUUGUGGACAUAACACCUGGCAGUUACAUUUAUCACACAGCAGGACGAUGACUCCUUCUUUGACAGCUGAGGGGCCUUCAGCAUUUGCAGAUAUGAUUGUCAGUGCUGGUCCUGGUAAGAAGCCUUUUAUAGGUGAACAGCACUACCCCAGUAUAAUGAAACAGAAAGCUGCACUGCUUAACCCUGAAAGAUGAGAGAUGUACAGACCAAAUCUGUAAUGUGCACAGCAACAUCAUGACCACACUGAGCCUGGCAGCACCUUUGAAGUGUGAGCCUGAAGUGUGUUUGUUCCCUUCCCUGCCAUGCCCACGGUACUGAGGCUGUUCCUUGCCCUGCCCAACUUGCUGUGCACAGGACAAAAGGAGCAUGGACAGGCAGGCACUUUAUCUGAGCUGUCCAUAUGGGACCAGAAUUAGGAUUUCCUACCAGCACAGAGCACCAUUCUAAUAGCAAGAA
Molecule: long non-coding RNA, 456 nt
Organism: Poecile atricapillus (Black-capped chickadee)
Lineage: Eukaryota; Metazoa; Chordata; Aves; Passeriformes; Paridae
Exons: 3
Source: RefSeq, a predicted model, not a curated record